This 1345-nucleotide long non-coding RNA is filed under the name Monodelphis domestica (gray short-tailed opossum). RNAcentral's name for it is "lncRNA (ENSMODG00000038107.1)". The record is from RNAcentral. Lineage: Eukaryota; Metazoa; Chordata; Mammalia; Didelphimorphia; Didelphidae.
ACCCGGGUUUACUCCUCAGCCCAGGGGAGAGGAUUGCUAUUUGGAUAUAGUUGUUGGUUUCCCAGAGUCUUGAGUUAAUCCUCCUCUUUGGGGAGAGGUAUAGUUUUCCCCAAAUAUUCAGUCCCCUUCUUUAGUGUCAGAAAGCAGACAGAUCUGAUCUAAGUAGUAAUACUUUUAACUAGGAUCACCCAGGGAAGAGAGGGAUGAAGGUAUUGGGUGAGGAGAGUGGGUAGCAGGAAUCCCUAUUGGCUGGCAGACUGACCCACUGCCUCCAAAUCUCUGGGGUCCAGGCUCUUGACCUUGACCACUCUUCUAGUCAGCUGCUAGGUUCGUCCCUACUCCUGAGCUAAUCUGGCUAGGAUGAUGGAGUUCAGGACAAAUUGAGGAUAGAGAAGUAGAGAAUAAUUCUUGGAGAGGAUUUCCUUAGUAGAUGGCUUCUUUCAAGGUCUAGUCUACAAUAUUUGAGCUGAAUAAGAGAUUCAGGGGUUCACUAGGAAGCAGUUGAUGUCCAGGGGGAUUCCCAGCCUCAGAGGGCCUUUUCUCAGGAUCUUGGCUGGAGGAGUGGAGUUGAGCUGGCAGUUUUUUGAGUUCCCACAGCUUCUGUUCUCUCCCUGGAAUCUUGUUUUUUUUUUCCACUUUCUGCCCCUCCCCCACAUGGACUGCUUCUUGCUCCACUGGAUCUGGUUUCUCUAUUUUGUAUAUUCCUCUCUUGCAUCCUAGAACAUUUUUAUUCAUAUUAUUGAAUAACAUAUAGUACCAUUUUGAAGGAAUUUGCUAUCCAAGUCGCAUUUUGUCCAGGGUUAUGGGAAUAAUACAUUACAUCAUAAUGCAUGGAUUCCAGUCCCUAUCUGUGAAUUUUCUCCAGCACUGGUUCUCUCAUUUAUCUUGUGAUGCCUUCUUCAAAGUGACUCAGGCAUUUCUUUUUGCCUCUAAAAUGACCUGCCAGUCUUCUUCUGAAAAGUGUGUACAAGGGAAUGACCAGAAGCAAAGAAGAUUUGAAUUUGGAAGAAAUGCUUCAGAAGAAGAAUUCUUCUUGUCUUGGGCUCUUUGGAGCUGGGAGGGAGAACAACUUUGGCUGUUAAAAUACCCAAAUCUCUCAAUCCUGUUAUCUGAGUAGAAGAAAGAAGAAGCUUGGGUUUUCUUCUCCAACUGCUUUUGAUCCUGGCUGGAAUUCCAUCCCAACCCCCGAGGUCUUGUGAGGUUCCAUCUGCUCCUCUUCUGAAGCAUUUCUUCCAAAUUCAAAUCUUUGCUUUUGGUCAUUCCUUUGUACACAAUAGUCAGGAAGGACUACAUUAUUUCAUCUAUUCUUCGAAGCCACUGUUGAAUAUUAUAAUUACAUGGGGUU